RNAcentral lists this ribosomal RNA (2617 nucleotides) under Salmonella enterica. RNAcentral's name for it is "partial 23S ribosomal RNA". It matches the Rfam family "Bacterial large subunit ribosomal RNA". Lineage: Bacteria; Pseudomonadati; Pseudomonadota; Gammaproteobacteria; Enterobacterales; Enterobacteriaceae. RNAcentral also lists the same sequence under 2 other names. The record is from RNAcentral.
AAUCCAUAGGUUAAUGAGGCGAACCGGGGGAACUGAAACAUCUAAGUACCCCGAGGAAAAGAAAUCAACCGAGAUUCCCCCAGUAGCGGCGAGCGAACGGGGAGGAGCCCAGAGCCUGAAUCAGCAUGUGUGUUAGUGGAAGCGUCUGGAAAGGCGCGCGAUACAGGGUGACAGCCCCGUACACAAAAGCGCAUGUGCUGUGAGCUCGAUGAGUAGGGCGGGACACGUGGUAUCCUGUCUGAAUAUGGGGGGACCAUCCUCCAAGGCUAAAUACUCCUGACUGACCGAUAGUGAACCAGUACCGUGAGGGAAAGGCGAAAAGAACCCCGGCGAGGGGAGUGAAAAAGAACCUGAAACCGUGUACGUACAAGCAGUGGGAGCACCCUUUGGGUGUGACUGCGUACCUUUUGUAUAAUGGGUCAGCGACUUAUAUUCUGUAGCAAGGUUAACCGAAUAGGGGAGCCGGAGGGAAACCGAGUCUUAAUUGGGCGUUAAGUUGCAGGGUAUAGACCCGAAACCCGGUGAUCUAGCCAUGGGCAGGUUGAAGGUUGGGUAACACUAACUGGAGGACCGAACCGACUAAUGUUGAAAAAUUAGCGGAUGACCUGUGGCUGGGGGUGAAAGGCCAAUCAAACCGGGAGAUAGCUGGUUCUCCCCGAAAGCUAUUUAGGUAGCGCCUCGUGAAUUCAUCUCCGGGGGUAGAGCACUGUUUCGGCUAGGGGGCCAUCCCGGCUUACCAACCCGAUGCAAACUGCGAAUACCGGAGAAUGUUAUCACGGGAGACACACGGCGGGUGCUAACGUCCGUCGUGAAGAGGGAAACAACCCAGACCGCCAGCUAAGGUCCCAAAGUCAUGGUUAAGUGGGAAACGAUGUGGGAAGGCCCAGACAGCCAGGAUGUUGGCUUAGAAGCAGCCAUCAUUUAAAGAAAGCGUAAUAGCUCACUGGUCGAGUCGGCCUGCGCGGAAGAUGUAACGGGGCUAAACCAUGCACCGAAGCUGCGGCAGCGACACUGUGUGUUGUUGGGUAGGGGAGCGUUCUGUAAGCCUGUGAAGGUGUGUCGUGAGGCAUGCUGGAGGUAUCAGAAGUGCGAAUGCUGACAUAAGUAACGAUAAAGCGGGUGAAAAGCCCGCUCGCCGGAAGACCAAGGGUUCCUGUCCAACGUUAAUCGGGGCAGGGUGAGUCGACCCCUAAGGCGAGGCCGAAAGGCGUAGUCGAUGGGAAACGGGUUAAUAUUCCCGUACUUGGUGUUACUGCGAAGGGGGGACGGAGAAGGCUAUGUUGGCCGGGCGACGGUUGUCCCGGUUUAAGCGUGUAGGUGUGUGUUCCAGGUAAAUCCGGUUCACUUUAACACUGAGGCGUGACGACGAGGCACUACGGUGCUGAAGCAACAAAUGCCCUGCUUCCAGGAAAAGCCUCUAAGCAUCAGGUAACAUCAAAUCGUACCCCAAACCGACACAGGUGGUCAGGUAGAGAAUACCAAGGCGCUUGAGAGAACUCGGGUGAAGGAACUAGGCAAAAUGGUGCCGUAACUUCGGGAGAAGGCACGCUGACACGUAGGUGAAGUGAUUUACUCAUGGAGCUGAAGUCAGUCGAAGAUACCAGCUGGCUGCAACUGUUUAUUAAAAACACAGCACUGUGCAAACACGAAAGUGGACGUAUACGGUGUGACGCCUGCCCGGUGCCGGAAGGUUAAUUGAUGGGGUCAGCGCAAGCGAAGCUCCUGAUCGAAGCCCCGGUAAACGGCGGCCGUAACUAUAACGGUCCUAAGGUAGCGAAAUUCCUUGUCGGGUAAGUUCCGACCUGCACGAAUGGCGUAAUGAUGGCCAGGCUGUCUCCACCCGAGACUCAGUGAAAUUGAACUCGCUGUGAAGAUGCAGUGUACCCGCGGCAAGACGGAAAGACCCCGUGAACCUUUACUAUAGCUUGACACUGAACAUUGAGCCUUGAUGUGUAGGAUAGGUGGGAGGCUUUGAAGUGUGGACGCCAGUCUGCAUGGAGCCGACCUUGAAAUACCACCCUUUAAUGUUUGAUGUUCUAACGUGGACCCGUUACCCGGGUUGCGGACAGUGUCUGGUGGGUAGUUUGACUGGGGCGGUCUCCUCCUAAAGAGUAACGGAGGAGCACGAAGGUUGGCUAAUCCUGGUCGGACAUCAGGAGGUUAGUGCAAUGGCAUAAGCCAGCUUGACUGCGAGCGUGACGGCGCGAGCAGGUGCGAAAGCAGGUCAUAGUGAUCCGGUGGUUCUGAAUGGAAGGGCCAUCGCUCAACGGAUAAAAGGUACUCCGGGGAUAACAGGCUGAUACCGCCCAAGAGUUCAUAUCGACGGCGGUGUUUGGCACCUCGAUGUCGGCUCAUCACAUCCUGGGGCUGAAGUAGGUCCCAAGGGUAUGGCUGUUCGCCAUUUAAAGUGGUACGCGAGCUGGGUUUAGAACGUCGUGAGACAGUUCGGUCCCUAUCUGCCGUGGGCGCUGGAGAACUGAGGGGGGCUGCUCCUAGUACGAGAGGACCGGAGUGGACGCAUCACUGGUGUUCGGGUUGUCAUGCCAAUGGCACUGCCCGGUAGCUAAAUGCGGAAGAGAUAAGUGCUGAAAGCAUCUAAGCACGAAACUUGCCCCGA